UCGGAUAUGGUGUAACGGCUAACAUUGCCGCCUUUCAUGUCUUUCCGGUCUUUCCGCGGCAGCUCGGGGUUCGAUUCCCCGUAUCCGAA
Molecule: non-coding RNA, 89 nt
Organism: Desarmillaria tabescens
Lineage: Eukaryota; Fungi; Basidiomycota; Agaricomycetes; Agaricales; Physalacriaceae
Source: the annotation of a RefSeq genome assembly